GUGGCCCCAGCUGGGCCAAGGAUCUGGCUCCUUGAAUGCAACUUGCUUAUUUAGGCCUGUCGCCCUGUUUUGGAGGCACUGGAUCUCCAGCAUGUUUCUUCUGCAAAAGAUAAGCAUCUGAAAAAGGAGAUGUAGAAGAGAUUGAUGUAUGGGUGAAGUGUGUAGGAGCAAGCCUACUUUACUCCAGGAUGUGACAUCCCAGUGCAGCAAAUGAAGACAUGGCUGAAAGGCUAAUUUAAAAUCUUCUUCUCCCGUGAGGACUUUCUCCAAAGAAGCCGUCUCCUUGCUGCACCAAACAGAAGCUUGUUGAGUACUCUCAGGAGUCUUCCUUUCCUGUAGGGGCCGAUCCCAUUCCUGCUAACCAACAAGAGACCUGCUAAGCAACAGGACAUGUGGGAUGGGACAGGAGCGGGGAUUGGAGCUCCAGAGGAAGCUCUGGCUGCAGUGUGAGGACGAAACAGAGGCCAGCAGCUCUCCAGAGUCAAUUGGGUGCUACAGAGUUCAAAGAGCAGAGCCAAUGUUUGCAGAUGCAAAGCAGACCUGAUGUUGAUCCCAACCCUUCUAGAUCCUGGUCUGAUAUGAAAAAGAAAAUGAUUUUGUAGUCUUUCAAUUAAACACCUUAUCAAUGAUCUCAAAGCAUCUGCAGCGACUGAGUGCUAAGGAGGA
Gallus gallus (chicken) is the source of this 666-nucleotide long non-coding RNA. NCBI's taxonomy places the organism in Eukaryota, Metazoa, Chordata, Aves, Galliformes, Phasianidae. The record is from Ensembl.